This 458-nucleotide ribosomal RNA is filed under the name uncultured Rhodospirillaceae bacterium. Its description in RNAcentral is "bacterial SSU rRNA". It matches the Rfam family "Bacterial small subunit ribosomal RNA", at positions 938 to 1382 of the family's 1533-position model. The record is from RNAcentral. Lineage: Bacteria; Pseudomonadati; Pseudomonadota; Alphaproteobacteria; Rhodospirillales; Rhodospirillaceae.
CAUGUGGUUUAAUUUACGAUAGCAACGCCGAAGAAACCUUACCCACGCCCUUGACAUGCUAGGUUUUCGGAUUCGAGAGAUCGAUUCUUUUCAGUUCGGCUGGGCCUAGUGCAGGUGCUGCAUGGCUGUCGUCAGCUCGUGUCGUGAGAUGUUGGGUUAAGUCCCGCAACGAGCGCAACCCUCAUCUUCAGUUGCCAUCAGGUCAAGCUGGGCACUCUGAAGAAACUGCCGGUGACAAGCCGGAGGAAGGUGGGGAUGACGUCAAGUCCUCAUGGCCCUUACGGGCUGGGCUACACACGUGCUACAAUGACGGUGACAGUGGGAUGCGAUGGCGCGAGCCGGAGCGAAUCUCCAAAAGCCGUCUCAGUUCGGAUUGCACUCUGCAACUCGGGUGCAUGAAGUUGGAAUCGCUAGUAAUCGUGGAUCAGCAUGCCACGGUGAAUACGUUCCCGGGCCUU